GUAGGUGAACCUGCGGAAGGAUCAUUACCUUUCAGUACAGAAGCGUUGUGUUGGUUGAGUUGUGCCGGUUGAGUCUCGCUGAGAGGUGGGACUCCUGGUGGCAACUCCCUUCAUAAUUCUCCCUGUCUAUCAUCCUUGUCUUUUGCGUACUAUUGUUUCCUCGGUGGGCUUGCCUGCCGGUUGGACAACCUUAUAACCUAUUUAAUUUUCAAUCAGCGUCUGAAAUAAUAUAAUAAUUACAACUUUCAACAACGGAUCUCUUGGUUCUG
Molecule: unclassified non-coding RNA, 269 nt
Filed under: rhizosphere metagenome
Description: partial ribosomal RNA internal transcribed spacer region
Source: RNAcentral